This 254-nucleotide ribosomal RNA is filed under the name uncultured bacterium. RNAcentral's name for it is "partial 16S ribosomal RNA". It matches the Rfam family "Bacterial small subunit ribosomal RNA", at positions 524 to 776 of the family's 1533-position model. The record is from RNAcentral.
UACGUAGGGGGCAAGCGUUGUCCGGAUUUAUUGGGCGUAAAGAGCUCGUAGGCGGUUUGGUAAGUCUGGUGUGAAAUCUCCACGCUCAACGUGGAGGGGCCACCCGAUACUGCCAUGACUGGAGUCCGGUAGAGGAGUGUGGAAUUCCCGGUGUAGCGGUGAAAUGCGCAGAUAUCGGGAGGAACACCCGUAGCGAAGGCGGCACUCUGGGCCGGUACUGACGCUGAGGUGCGAAAGCGUGGGGAGCAAACAGG